GGUGUGGAAGCGCAGUAAUGUGUGAAGCUAACGUGUACUAAUUGCCCGUGAGGCUUGACCAUAUAACACCCAAAAGGGUU
Molecule: ribosomal RNA, 80 nt
Filed under: Cycloclasticus sp.
Lineage: Bacteria; Pseudomonadati; Pseudomonadota; Gammaproteobacteria; Thiotrichales; Piscirickettsiaceae
Description: partial 23S ribosomal RNA
Source: RNAcentral